RNAcentral lists this ribosomal RNA (463 nucleotides) under uncultured bacterium. RNAcentral describes it as "partial 16S ribosomal RNA". It matches the Rfam family "Bacterial small subunit ribosomal RNA", at positions 28 to 507 of the family's 1533-position model. The record is from RNAcentral.
GACGAACGCUGGCGGCGUGCUUAACACAUGCAAGUCGAACGGAAAGGCCUUUUCGGAGGUACUCGAGUGGCGAACGGGUGAGUAACACGUGGGUGAUCUGCCCUGCACUCUGGGAUAAGCCUGGGAAACUGGGUCUAAUACCGGAUAUGACCGCACUUUAGUGUGUGUGGUGGAAAGUUUUUUCGGUGAAGGAUGAGCCCGCGGCCUAUCAGCUUGUUGGUGGGGUAAUGGCCUACCAAGGCGGCGACGGGUAGCCGGACUGAGAGGUUGGUCGGCCACAUUGGGACUGAGAGACGGCCGAGACGCCGACGGGAGGAAGAAGGGGGGAAGAUUGAACAAGGGGCGCAAGCCUGAUGCAGAGGCGCCGCGGGGGGGAUGACGGCCUUCGGGUUGAAAACUACUUUCGCCAGGGACGAAGCGUUUUGUGACGGUACCUGGAGAAGAAGCACCGGCUAACUACGUG